UUCCAAACACUCAAACAGGGAGGAUCAUUUGUGAUCGAGUAUGUUUUCUGGUUUCUUUCGUCAUGCUCUCAGUAUUCUGUUGCUUUUUAACUUGAUCUUGGUCUUCUUCGGACUAGUAUUUAUUGCUUACGAUUUGGAAUAGUGACAAGUAAAGACAAAUCACAACUCCCGGUCAUCCAAUUCCAAGAAUAGAGGUACCGACUGUUACGGAUUGGCAAAAAGUACUUGCUCCUUCACUGUUACUGCAACAAAUACUGUCAUAUUGCUCAUCUUCAGAG
Long non-coding RNA from Glycine soja, 278 nucleotides. RefSeq lists it as uncharacterized. The transcript is spliced from 3 exons. The record is from RefSeq and is a predicted model, not a curated record. NCBI's taxonomy places the organism in Eukaryota, Viridiplantae, Streptophyta, Magnoliopsida, Fabales, Fabaceae.